RNAcentral lists this long non-coding RNA (1034 nucleotides) under Medicago truncatula (barrel medic). Its description in RNAcentral is "lncRNA gene47789". Lineage: Eukaryota; Viridiplantae; Streptophyta; Magnoliopsida; Fabales; Fabaceae. The record is from RNAcentral.
UACAGAAGGAAAAAAUUUAUAUUUAGACUAACUGGUUAAUUCAAGAAGUGCUAAUUAAUUUCGUCUCCUUUUAAUUUUAGUAUGUCUAUUUUUUUUUAAUGUAUACCAUUAUUAUGUCAUAGUUAAAUGUGCUUUAUGUUCUCAUAUUGGUAGGGACAUUGAAAAUCUGUCAUUAAAUACAUAUAACAUCUCUCAUGUCAUGUGUACCAUGUACCAUCAGCAAAAGAUUUGUGUGAAGUUGUUAAAUGGGAUCACUGUCUUGAAGGUUAUCAUUUUUUUUUUAUUCUUUGAUAAAUAAAUGAUAAAGUUCUUAUGCUAGUAUAUUAGUUGUUAUGUCUCUUAACUCGACUCCUUCAACCCUUAGCUCAAACCAGUAAGCUAAGAGAUCACUUGUGAUAUAGUGUAGAGAAUCAUGACCUUAGAGAGAAAAUGGGAAUAGUGGCACACACUUCUGGUUUUAAUGAUUCAGAAUUUCAAGCUUUCAUAUGCAGGGAUGGUAGGAGGAAAGAGGCUUACCGUAGCUACAGUUGCUUCAGUUAUAGUUUUCCUUUUGUAGAGUAAAAGGCAUUUAUUGAAAUCAUUUGUAGAAACUUACUGGUUAUAAUGAUUAUGUGUAUGUUUGGUAUCACAGUGGCCGUAAAUCGUAAUUUUGAAAAACCUACCGUGAUACUGAACAUGGACUAUUUAUUACAACUCUACUCUUUUGAACUUCUUCAUAAGCAACCUAUGUGCAAUUUUGUAGGCAACUAAGAAUUUUUAAAUGUGGCAGAAGUCUGGUGUUGAUUUUGUUGGUUCCCUGUGACUUCUUAAACCUUAAUUGCCACUUUCAUUUUGUUUAUUUUCAUAAUAUCAUUCAUCUUGUAUAUUUGAGCUGUAUGGUGAUAGAUCACUCGAUGAUGCUCUUGAUACGAUAUCACUCUAAAGUUUAUACUAUUAGGUAGGUAUUAAUUCCUCUAGAAAUAUUACGAAAUAUGUAUCAACUUGUUAAUAUUUUCUCCUUCGCCGGGGUUUGAACUCGGGUCCUUUAACUCCUC